Molecule: ribosomal RNA, 1985 nt
Filed under: human gut metagenome
Description: bacterial LSU rRNA
Rfam family: Bacterial large subunit ribosomal RNA
Source: RNAcentral
UUAAGAGAAUUAAGGGCACACGGUGGAUGCCUAGGUAAUAAGAGCCGAUGAAGGACGUGGUAAGCUGCGAUAAGCCUGGAGUAGUUGCAAUCGAACUUUGAUCCCAGGAUUUCCCAAUGGAGAAAUCUGCUAAGAUGGAGUCUUAGCGUGAAAACGGUAACCUGAUGAACUGAAACAUCUAAGUAGUCAGAGGAAAAGAAAGUAAAAACGAUUCCCUAAGUAGCGGCGAGCGAACGGGGACAAAGCCUAAAUCAUGUAAGUGUCAAGGAUGCAGCCGUUGCUUGCAUGAGGUAGUGGGAAGUUGCUUGAAGAACUGCAAGUUAUUCAGCGAUGUUAUUUCAACCAAUUAGAAUAAGCUGGAAAGCUUAACCAUAGAAGGUGAUAGUCCUGUAUAGGUAAAUUGGAAUAUGCGCGUGACUCUCCCGAGUAGCACGGAACACGAGGAAUUCUGUGUGAAUCUGCGAGGACCAUAUCUCGUAAGGCUAAAUACUCUUAUUAACCGAUAGCGUAUAGUACCGUGAGGGAAAGGUGAAAAGAACCCCGGGAGGGGAGUGAAAUAGAACCUGAAAUCGUGUGCUUACAAGCGGUCAGAGCCCUUCGGGGUGAUGGCGUGCCUUUUGGAGAAUGAUCCUGCGAGUUACGUUCAGUGGCGAGGUUAAGUAUACCGGAGCCGUAGGGAAACCGAGUCUUAAUAGGGCGCAUAGUCGCUGGGCGUAGACGCGAAACUUGGUGAUCUAAUCCUGUCCAGGGUGAAGCUGUGGUAAGACACAGUGGAGGCCCGAACUCACCGCCGUUGAAAAGUUGGGAGAUGAGAUAGGUUUAGGGGUGAAACGCCAAUCGAACUAAGAGAUAGCUCGUUCUCUCCGAAAUGCAUUUAGGUGCAGCCUUAGGAGAUAAAUUACGGGGGUAGAGCACUGAAUGGUCUAGGGGGCAUAUUGCUUACUGAAACCAACCAAACUCCGAAUACCGUAAUUCCCAUCCUAGGAGUGAGACUAUGGGUACUAAGAUCCAUGGUCAAAAGGGAAACAGCCCAGACCGUCAGCUAAGGUCCCUAAUUAUAGCUAAGUGGGAAAGGAGGUGGAGAUUCACAAACAACCAGGAGGUUGGCUUAGAAGCAGCCAUACCUUUAAAGAGUGCGUAAUAGCUCACUGGUCGAGAGUCUCUGCGCCGACAAUGUAACGGGGCUAAGCUAUAAACCGAAGCUACGGAAUUAUGCGUAUGCAUAAUUGGUAGGAGAGCGUUCUGUAGGCUGUUGAAGGAGGACUGAUAAGGAACUCUGGAGGUAUCAGAAGUGAGAAUGCAGGAAUAAGUAGCGAGAAAGAGGGUGAGAAUCCUUCUCGCCGGAAGACCAAGGUUUCCAGGGUAAAGCUUGUCUUCCCUGGGUAAGCCGGGACCUAAGCUGAGGCUAUAAUGCGUAGGCGAAUGGAAAACAGAUUAAUAUUUCUGUGCCACUUAUAUAUUGUGAAGGAGGGACGCAGAAGGGUAUGUAAGCAGGAGAACGGAAGUUCCUGUGUAAGCAUGUAGAGUGAAACGGCAGGCAAAUCCGCUGUUUUAGACUUGAGGUGUGAUGCGUAGCCCAUUAGGGCGAAUUUACAGAUCCCACGCUGCCAAGAAAAGCUUCUAGCGUUAAUAUAUAAGUGCCCGUACUGUAAACCGACACAGGUGGUCAGAAUGAGAAAUUUAAGGCGGACAGGCUAACUCUCGCUAAGGAACUCUGCAAAAUGAAUCCGUAACUUCGGGAGAAGGAUUGCCCCUUUGUGUAGAGAGCUACGCGCUCAAAGCAUGAGGGGGUCGCAGUGAAGAGGCUCAGGCAACUGUUUAACAAAAACAUAGGUCUAUGCUAAGCUGUAAGGCGAUGUAUAUGGGCUGACACCUGCCCAGUGCCGGAAGGUUAAGAGGAGGAGUGAGAGCUCCGAAUUGAAGCCCCGGUGAACGGCGGCCGUAACUAUAACGGUCCUAAGGUAGCGAAAUUCCUUGUCGGGUAA